CAGUAGCCGCGGUAAUACGUAGGUGGCAAGCGUUGUCCGGAAUUAUUGGGCGUAAAGGGCUCGCAGGCGGUUUCUUAAGUCUGAUGUGAGAGCCCCCGGCUCAACCGGGGAGGGUCAUUGGAAACUGGGAAACUUGAGUGCAGAAGAGGAGAGUGGAAUUCCACGUGUAGCGGUGAAAUGCGUAGAGAUGUGGAGGAACACCAGUGGCGAAGGCGACUCUCUGGUCUGUAGCUGACGCUGAGGAGCGAAAGCGCGGGGAGCGAACAGGAUUAGAUACCCCAGUAGUCCCUGUCUCUUAUAC
This 301-nucleotide ribosomal RNA is filed under the name uncultured bacterium. RNAcentral's name for it is "partial 16S ribosomal RNA". It matches the Rfam family "Bacterial small subunit ribosomal RNA", at positions 509 to 807 of the family's 1533-position model. The record is from RNAcentral.